Long non-coding RNA from Dermacentor silvarum, 647 nucleotides. RefSeq lists it as uncharacterized. Lineage: Eukaryota; Metazoa; Arthropoda; Arachnida; Ixodida; Ixodidae. The transcript has 3 exons. The record is from RefSeq and is a predicted model, not a curated record.
UGCUCCCGCGUUUGCAUGCAGCAACCGCAGUUUAAACACCAAGUGCGCUGUCGUAUCACCAAUCUGUAGAGUCCACCUCCUUGAUACCGAAAGUGUAACAGUCUCGUAAGAAGCAGUUUCAUAGCAAACUGUUGGCGGUCGUACUGACGCUUGCCGUUAUUUUUCAACAGCCUUUAUGGAAUACUAUCAAAGCACCGGUCUGAGAAUAGUGGUGCACGGACUGAUUGCAUUGAUCCUCGGCAACUACGUCCAGUGUUCGUCAUGCGAUUGGGAUGAAACUUCGUCUCCCUGCCCCCAGCAUGGAAAGAAACCAGAGUUUCCUUGCCCUUACCACGGAUAUGGAGGGCAGGUGCGACGAAAACCAUGCACACCUGGACAAGUCACCUGCCACUGCCCUUCUGAUAAAUAUAGGCGAUCCGACAGGUUCUGCGUGACCUUGCAACAAUGCACUAAGCAAGAGCCAAAACCUGAAAGGAAAGGGCGCGGAUAGUGCAUUCUGUUGGUCUUUCUUUUUGUGCAAGAAUUUUUGGAGCUAUCUUAUAUCUUACUGAGCCAUGUGCAUGUCCUAGCACUUUAAGUGGAUAUUAUUGAGGACUGAAGGAUAAUAAACCAAACAUUACAAAAUAAAUAGUUGGGCGCUUUUGGCA